UACGUAGGUGGCAAGCGUUGUCCGGAUUUACUGGGCGUAAAGAGCGCGCAGGCGGUCGUUCAAGUCGCGUGUGAAAGCCCCCGGCUCAACUGGGGAGGGUCACGCGAUACUGAUCGACUCGAAGGAAGGAGAGGGAAGUGGAAUUCCCGGUGUAGUGGUGAAAUGCGUAGAUAUCGGGAGGAACACCAGUGGCGAAGGCGACUUCCUGGCCUGUUCUUGACGCUGAGGCGCGAAAGCUAGGGGAGCAAACGGG
This 253-nucleotide ribosomal RNA is filed under the name uncultured bacterium. RNAcentral describes it as "partial 16S ribosomal RNA". It matches the Rfam family "Bacterial small subunit ribosomal RNA", at positions 524 to 776 of the family's 1533-position model. The record is from RNAcentral.